UACGGAGGGUGCUAGCGUUGUUCGGAAUCACUGGGCGUAAAGGGCGCGUAGGCGGCCUCAGGUGUCGGAUGUGAAAGCCCGGGGCUCAACCCCGGAGGUGCAUCCGAAACUCUGGGGCUGGAGGUCGGAAGAGGAGGGUGGAAUACCCAGUGUAGAGGUGAAAUUCGUAGAUAUUGGGUGGAACACCGGUGGCGAAAGCGGCUCUCUGGUCCGGACCUGACGCUGAGGCGCGAAAGCGUGGGGAGCAAACAGG
RNAcentral lists this ribosomal RNA (253 nucleotides) under uncultured bacterium. RNAcentral describes it as "partial 16S ribosomal RNA". It matches the Rfam family "Bacterial small subunit ribosomal RNA", at positions 524 to 776 of the family's 1533-position model. The record is from RNAcentral.